AGAGUUUGAUCAUGGCUCAGGAUGAACGCUAGCGGCAGGCUUAAUACAUGCAAGUCGAGGGGUAACAGGGGUAGCAAUACCUGCUGACGACCGGCAAACGGGUGAGGAACACGUACGCAACUUUCCCAAAACUGGUGAAUAGCCCUCCGAAAGGAGGAUUAAUACACCGUAAGAUAAUGAGAUGGCAUCAUUUUAUUAUUAUAGCUCCGGCGGUUUUGGAUGGGCGUGCGCCUGAUUAGGUAGUUGGCGGGGUAACGGCCCACCAAGCCUGCGAUCAGUAACUGGUGUGAGAGCACGACCAGUCACACGGGCACUGAGACACGGGCCCGACUCCUACGGGAGGCAGCAGUAAGGAAUAUUGGUCAAUGGACGAAAGUCUGAACCAGCCAUGCCGCGUGAAGGAUGAAGGUCCUCUGGAUUGUAAACUUCUUUUAUCUGGGACGAAAAAAGGUUAUUCUUAACCACUUGACGGUACCAGAGGAAUAAGCACCGGCUAACUCCGUGCCAGCAGCCGCGGUAAUACGGAGGGUGCAAGCGUUAUCCGGAUUCACUGGGUUUAAAGGGUGCGUAGGUGGAUUAGUAAGUCUGUGGUGAAAUCUCCGAGCUUAACUCGGAAACUGCCGUGGAUACUAUUAGUCUUGAAUCUCCUGGAGGUAAGCGGAAUAUGUCAUGUAGCGGUGAAAUGCUUAGAUAUGACAUAGAACACCAAUUGCGGAGGCAGCUUACUACGGGAGCAUUGACACUGAGGCACGAAAGCGUGGGGAUCAAACAGGAUUAGAUACCCUGGUAGUCCACGCCCU
Molecule: ribosomal RNA, 800 nt
Filed under: uncultured bacterium
Lineage: Bacteria
Description: bacterial SSU rRNA
Rfam family: Bacterial small subunit ribosomal RNA
Source: RNAcentral